AUUGAACGCUGGCGGCAUGCUUUACACAUGCAAGUCGAGCGGCAGCGCGGGGGCAACCCUGGCGGCGAGCGGCGAACGGGUGAGUAAUGCAUCGGAACGUAUCCUCGAGUGGGGGAUAACCCAGCGAAAGUUGGGCUAAUACCGCAUGAGCUCUGAGGAGGAAAGUGGGGGACCUGCGAGGGCCUCGCGCUGGAGGAGCGGCCGAUGUCCGAUUAGCUAGUUGGUGGGGUAAAGGCUUACCAAGGCGACGAUCGGUAGCUGGUCUGAGAGGAUGAUCAGCCACACUGAGGCUGAGACACGGCCCAGACACCGACGGGAGGCAGCAGUGGGGAAGUUUGGACGAUGGGGGCAACCCUGAUCCAGCCAUGCAGCGUGAGUGAAGAAGGCCUGCGGGUUGUAAAGCGCUUUCGGACGGAACGAAAUGGGCGGGACUAAUACUCCUGUCUGAUGACGGUACCGUAAGAAGAAGCACCGGCUAACUACGU
Molecule: ribosomal RNA, 485 nt
Filed under: uncultured bacterium
Lineage: Bacteria
Description: partial 16S ribosomal RNA
Rfam family: Bacterial small subunit ribosomal RNA
Source: RNAcentral